This 468-nucleotide ribosomal RNA is filed under the name uncultured bacterium. RNAcentral describes it as "partial 16S ribosomal RNA". It matches the Rfam family "Bacterial small subunit ribosomal RNA", at positions 28 to 507 of the family's 1533-position model. The record is from RNAcentral.
GACGAACGCUGGCGGCGUGCUUAACACAUGCAAGUCGAACGGAAAGGCCCUGCUUUUGUGGGGUGCUCGAGUGGCGAACGGGUGAGUAACACGUGAGUAACCUGCCCUUGACUUUGGGAUAACUUCAGGAAACUGGGGCUAAUACCGGAUAGGAGCUCCUGCUGCAUGGUGGGGGUUGGAAAGUUUCGGCGGUUGGGGAUGGACUCGCGGCUUAUCAGCUUGUUGGUGGGGUAGUGGCUUACCAAGGCUUUGACGGGUAGCCGGCCUGAGAGGGUGACCGGCCACCUGGGGCCUGAGAGACGCAGCAGACGGCAACGGGGGGCAGCAGUGGGGAAUAUUGCACAAUGGGCGGAAGCCUGAGGCAGAAACGCCGCGUGUGGGAUGACGGCCUUCGGGUUGUAAACCGCUUUCGCCUGUGACGAAGCGUGAGUGACGGUACUGGGUAAAGAAGCACCGGCUAACUACGUG